CCGUAUGGUGGCCGAGUAGACGGCGAGUUGUAGCUCGGGUUGGGAAUUGUGCCCCCCAACCGA
RNAcentral lists this transfer RNA (63 nucleotides) under Cyrtodactylus quadrivirgatus. RNAcentral describes it as "tRNA-Tyr". Lineage: Eukaryota; Metazoa; Chordata; Lepidosauria; Squamata; Gekkonidae. The record is from RNAcentral.